Molecule: transfer RNA, 72 nt
Filed under: Salmo salar (Atlantic salmon)
Lineage: Eukaryota; Metazoa; Chordata; Actinopteri; Salmoniformes; Salmonidae
Rfam family: tRNA
About the family: Transfer RNA (tRNA) molecules are approximately 80 nucleotides in length. Their secondary structure includes four short double-helical elements and three loops (D, anti-codon, and T loops).
Source: Rfam by way of RNAcentral
UCCCGUGUGGCUCAGUUGGUAGAGCAUGGUGUUUGCAACACCAGGGUUGUGGGUUCGAUUCUCACCGGGGAU